Molecule: long non-coding RNA, 680 nt
Organism: Panicum virgatum (switchgrass)
Lineage: Eukaryota; Viridiplantae; Streptophyta; Magnoliopsida; Poales; Poaceae
Exons: 3
Source: RefSeq, a predicted model, not a curated record
AUGGAAAGCUCGCAAUGAUUUGAGAUUUAAUAAUAAAAAGUGGUAUGUUCAUAGGGUGGGCUUUGAGGUGAUGGCUGACAUAACAGCUUCUUCUCCUCUUGAUUCAAUUAUGCCUACUUUCAGGAGUUCGCGAAUUCCUGCACCUCAAGCACAUAGGAUUCAGCCUUUCAGACCUCAACAAGCCUUGUUAACCAGCUGCUCAGACAUAGCGAUUGAUCCAGAUAGAGCAGGGGUUGGAUCAAAAGUCACAGGUCCCAACGGUGAUUCUAGGAGAGUUGGAGGCCAUCUUUUGGGGAGUCAAAUGUACUGCUGAACUGCUUUCAGAACCUUUCUGUUGGGGAACUGAUAGCCUUCUGGCUGUUUAGUACAUGCAGAAGGAUCUUCAUCAAGUACCUUGGAGGCUCAGAGCCAAGAUCUCUCAACUCAAAUUGCUUCAAAGGAAUCAUCCAUUCCAGGUGAUGAAGGUUUCUAGAAGACAGAAUGCAGAAGCUCAUUGUUUAGCUAGACAAGCUAAAGCAUCUUUAUCAACUACUUCUACUGUAGUUUUGUGCAAUACUGCUGCUCAUGGGCCUUCCUGCCCUGUUAUAGCUGUACUCUUGAAUGUACUCCAGGGGCCUUUAGAUCUCCUGAAUGUAUGUUGUUCUAAUUAAUAAAUAAGCAUGUUGCUUUUCAAAAAAAAA